GAGACUCCGAAAUACUCUGUCUAUUCCUUCAUCUUCUUCUUUCUCGUUUCUUCAUCUUCAUUUGAAUCAAUAUAGGAGUUUUUAUCGUCAACAUCCCCCCUCAAAAUGGAGAGGAGAGAAUGGACCCCAAGCUUUCCCAGAAUAUAACGAUGAGAAACCCCAGAUAAGGGUUUUGUGAAUAAAUCGGCAAGUUGGCAGUCGGAUGGAACAAACGAUAGGGAAAUUAAACCAGAGAGAAAUUGUUGAAACAAACAAAGUGGCAGUCGAGGUCCACAUGCUUCGUUCGCUCAUGAAAGACACGGUGGUUCCAAGCGAUGUGAAUCGUUGUAUGCUAUCAGAAUGAAUAGGGACUGGAAAGGUAGGCUGUACAGUCAGAUCUCCCAAAAGUCGAACAAGCCAAGUGAUUUCAGCCGUGACUCGACACAUCGAUCGGUAUUCAGCCUCUGCAGAUGACAAGGAAACUGAAGCAUGUUUCUUGGAUUUCCAGGAAAUAGGUGCACCACCAAGCGUAACCAUCGAGAAUCAUGACACGCUGCUCAAUCAGCAUUGCAAAAUUCCAGCAAAUCAAAAGAGGGAGAAGAAGACAGAAGAAUCCUCUUCUAAGGAUUUGUACGCAAAUAGCUCAAGAGUCAUUGAGUAGCAGAGAAAUGGGAAGAACAGGGUUGGUGCAUGUAUUGACUUAGAGGGAGAACAACAAAUGAGAGGCUAGGCCUAGUGUUCGUCAAAUAGUUGAGUUACCAACGAGGUGACGAUAGAGACUUGGGUCAUCCAUUGAUGUCCCUGAAUUCGCCUAAAUCUUGAUGGAAGGAUCAAGAGGUGAAGAAACCUUGCCACCUGGAGAAUUGAACUCCUGCAGCAGCUCUAAGGUAAAUUUCCUUUGGCUGACAAUGAAGCCCUGUUUUUCACUGAGUAUUUCCAUCCUUAGAAAAUAAUGAAUAGCACCCAAAUGUUUCACUUCGAACUCAGAAUUGAGAAAACCGGUAAUGUGUUGAAUUUCUAUUGCAUCAUCCCCUCUUAAUAGGAUGUCAUACACAUAAACUUUUAGUAUAGACACCAGAUCACCAUUACAUUUGAAAAAGAGAGAAUAGUCAUUUAGAGAACUAGAAUGCCCUUUAAUACUCAAAGCUCCUAAAAGUCUAGCAUACCACUGUCUAGAUGCAUGUUUCAACCCAUAAAGAGACUUUUUUAAGAGACAAACUUGAUUAGUAUGGGGUGGAGUAAUACCUUUUGGGAACUUCAUAUAGACUUUUUCUUGCAAUUCCCCAUGGAGGAAUAUAUUGUUAACAUCAAGUUGUGACACUUCCCAACCUUUCUUCAUAGCCACAUCUAAAAGAAACCUUAUGGUGGUCAUUUUGACCACUGGAGAAAAUAUUUCAAAGUAGUCAAUUCCUUCUCUUUGAAUAUCCCAUCUCACUACUAGGCUAGCUUUUAAUCUCUCCACAGUUCCAUCUGAAUAGUGCUUUACCUUGUAUACCCACUUACAAGGCAGAGCUUUCUUUUUGGAGGUAAAUCUACCACAUCCCAGGUGUGAUUCAGCUGUAAGGCUGAAAUUUCUGCAUCCAUGGCAGCCUUUCACCCUGGGUGAUUGCAAGCUUGAUCAUAGCUGCUAGGUUCAGAGAUAGUGGAUAGGGAUUGAACUAGUUGUUUAUUUGUAGCAGAGAGGGUCCCAAAAGAGAAACAUUCGGAAUGGAUGGCUGACUAAAACAAGAAUCUAUGAGAUUUGUGAGAAUGAUGGCAUUGCACACAUAGUCUUUUAAAUAGCUAGGUGCCUGAGAAAUUCUCUCAGACUUUCUGACAGGUGGUGGAGGUGUGGGAAUGACAUAUCUGGAUGCUGGGUGAAUAGGUGAAAGAGGAAGAGUUGAGGAUUCAUCUAGGAGUGGUGUAGGAUCCGAUGAAAUGUGAGGGAAUGGGUGUGUGGUUCUAAGAAAAAGAGGGUUAUUACUAGUAGGUGUUGAAGGAAUCCUUGAGGGAGAUGAUUGUGGUGAGACCUCAAGUUCUUUCUGAUGUACAAGACCUUCAGGAAUAAAAUCUGAGGAGAAGGUAGGAGAAUGUGGAUAGUAGGUGGAUGAGUGAGAUGAAUGAAAAAGAAAAACUUCUUCAUGAAACAUGAUGUCCUUGGAUACAAAUACCAUUCUUGUAUCCAUGUCCAAUACCUUGUAGCCCUUUUUACCUUGAGCAUAUCUUAGGAACACACCACAUUUAGCUCUAGGAUCAAAUUUACUUCUAUUUUAAGAUAGAGUUGAUGUUAGUAAGCGUCAAUACCACACAAGAGGGGGGGUGAUCCGUGUGGUACCUAAUUUCCGCGUUAGAAGAACCUGGUUCUUCUAAGUGUUCUAACUACAGCAGUUUGUGGAAUAAUAAGAACUGAAAGUAAAGUGCACAGAGAUUUUUUACGUGGAAAACACCUUGCUCAACAGGUGAAAAAACCAGGAUCUACUACUCAGUAGGAUUUUCCCAAAUUCCACUAAAAAUUAAUGAGCCAAACAAUAUUUACCAAGACUUUUUGUAAACCUAAGGAUUCAACUCUAACCCCAGUGUGGCAGCCAGCCUCUAGCUGUUGCCACAACUUCAAGUUAAACUCUAACUUAAAUACUCAAAUACCUAUUACAAUUGCUUCUAUGAAAUCUGAAAGGUACAAUAUGAAAACACCAACUACAAUUGAACUAGAAAUAAAGGAUAAGUUUUGAAGAUUGACAAAAGAACUCAGGAUGAACCAGGUCCAUCCCAGUGGUCCAUCUCUCAAGUUCAUAAUAAAGGAAGAUUCAAGCAUGUGGGAUGCACAUGAAGGAGAUAAGCUUAACUUGCUGUAUUUAAUAUCUCCUGAUCAAAAAUGUUGCAUAAUUUAUAAGGAGAAGGACUCCUUAAUCAAAGAGAACACUAUCCAAGAUAGGGAAGGAAUUAGAAGUUGAAAUCAACUAGAACUCUUCCACCAAGGAAGUACCCUAGUUAUUUCUUCAUCUACUAACUCUAUAAAUUGCAGGGUGUUCUCAUAUUAAAGGUGUUGCACAAAAACGCAUAAGUUAAACGUGAAUUUGGAGCAAAAUAGCAAGGCUUUUUGCAAGCAGUACGUGUGUAAUUCAAGAGUGCCAACCAGAAGCUACAUGAACCAGAUUGAAUAACAAGUUCCAUAAAGAGUGUUAUGUGUUUUUCUUUAUUUCUAGUUCAAUUGUAGUAGGUGUUUUCAUAUUGUGCCUUUCACCUUUCAUAGAAGCAAUUGUAAUAGGUAUUUGAGUAUUCAAGUUAGAGUUUAACUUGAAGUUGUUGCAACAGUUAGAGGCUAGUUUCCACACUAGCAUUAGAGUUUAAUCCUUAGUUUACAAAGAGUCAUUGUAAAUGUUAUUUGGCUCAUUGAUUUUUAGUGGAGUUUGGAAAAAUCCUACUGAGUAGUAGGUCGUGGUUUUUUUCACCUUUUGAGCUAGGUGUUUUCCACGUGAAAAUCUUUGUGCACUUUACUUUCAGUUCUUAUUAUUCUGCAAACUGUUGUAGUUAGAACACUUAGAAGAACUAGGUUCUUCUAAUGAGAAAAUUAGGUACCACACAAAUCACUCCCCCCCCCCCCCUUGUGUGGUAUUGACGUUUAUUAACAUCAAUGGUAUCAGAGCAGCUUAUCCUUGAAGAGGCUAACACCUUAGGAAAAGAUCAAAAUGAGUGAACCACCUGGAAACUGGGAAGAGCAAUCCACUGAUAGGCCUCCACUCUUUAAUGGCCACUACUACUCUUGGUAGAAAAACAGGAUGAGAGAUCAUAUCAUCGAAGAAGAAUAUCAGCUAUAGUACAUUGUCAUUGAUGGUCCCUGGCUACCAUGAAGAAGAAUGCAGAAGUGAGAGAUCACAUCAUUGGAGAAGACUAUAAGCUAUGGGGCAUUGUCACUCAUGGUCCCCUAGCUACCAUGAAGAAGAAUGUUGAAGGAGUAGAUGUGCCAAAACAAGAGCCGACUGCAAUGCUGAGGACUUGAGAAAAUGGGAAAAGAAUGCUAAUGCCGAAAAAUGACUUGUGUGUAGACUUGGUCCAGACGAGUACAAUAGUAUUCAAAGUCGUACCACUACCAAGGAAAUAUGGGACACUUUACAAGUGGCUCAUGAAAGAACAUCUCAAGUAAACAGAUCAAGAGGAACAUUGUUGUAUUAUCAAUAUGAGAAUUUCACCAUAGAGGUAAGGGAAACCAUCCAGGAGAUGUAUACAAGGUUCACCAUACUGACAAAUGAACUUAAGUCUCUUGGAAGGGUUAUUCUUAAAGAGGAAGAGUUGAGAAAAUUUUUACAAGGGUUUUGCCAGUCACUUGGGAAAGAAAAUUCAUUGCCAUUCAGGAAUCAAAGAGCGUUGCCACUCAUAAGUUGGACGAGCUAAUUGGAAAUCUCACAGCCUAUGAACUUAGAAGGCAAACCAGAAAGAUGGAUGCACCCAAGAAAGAAAGGAGCAUGGCAUUCAAAAUCACUAAAGGUGUUGAUCUAGAGGAGGAUGAAAUGACCAUGAUCACAAAGGAAUUCAAGAAGUACUUAAUGAGAGGAAAUGUUCCUUCAAGAAGUGGAAGCUUCAGCAAACCAAGGUUUCCUGAAAAACAAACAUAUGAGGGGUGUUACAAGUGUGGGAAGACUGAUCACCACAUUACAAACUGCCUUCAAUGGGAAAUUGAAUAGAAGAAGGAAAGAGCUGAACGAAGGAACAAGAAGAAGGAAUAUGUUCAACUCAAGAAGAACAAAGGAUCAACAAAGGCUAAAGAUGUAUUAUUUGACAUAUUUACUUCUUUUGUUAGAAAAACUCAGAAACAACUAGGUAAUCAACUUGCAUCAAUUAGGUAUGAUCAUGGAACUGAAUUUGAAAAUGCCAAGUUUACUAAAUUUUUGCAUAAUACAUUAUAAAUAGUUGUAUGACUAGACCUCUUAUUAAGAAGAUUCCCUAUGAGUCACUUAAAGGGAGAAACUAAAUAUAUCCCAUCUAAGGGAAUUUAAAUGCAAAUACUUUGUGCACAAUAAUGGCAAAGAUUCCCUAUGUAAAAUUUGAUUCCGAAGUGAUGAGGGAGUAUUCUUGGGAUAUUAUGCACCUAGAAAAGCAUAUGAAGUGUACAACAAAAUAACUAUGUAUGUAGAAGAAAGUAUACAUGUAAUUUUGAUGAAACUAACAUUCUUUCUGAGAGACAGGAACAUGAAGAUGAAGUUAUUGGGCUAGUAAGAAAUUUAAAUGAAAUCGCAGCCCAGACUGAAGCUGCACCAGAAGAAGGAACAGGUUCUUCCACCCAGGGCAACAUGACAGGGGGAACUGACUAAAGAGGAAUUGAUCCUCAAACCUCGAGGGAAC
This 5295-nucleotide long non-coding RNA is filed under the name Nicotiana benthamiana. RNAcentral describes it as "long non-coding RNA (NBEN_LNC024519)". Lineage: Eukaryota; Viridiplantae; Streptophyta; Magnoliopsida; Solanales; Solanaceae. The record is from RNAcentral.